Molecule: non-coding RNA, 202 nt
Organism: Pelodiscus sinensis (Chinese soft-shelled turtle)
Lineage: Eukaryota; Metazoa; Chordata; Testudines; Trionychidae
Source: RefSeq, a predicted model, not a curated record
ACCAUAACAGGCAGAAGGAAUUGUGUAUUAGCUACAUAUGCAAGCAUUACCAUGAUCAUCUUAUAUUUCAAGCUAAGGCCUAAAAAACAAACUCCAGCGCUGACGGAAAAAUAGUGGCUGCUGGCAUGUGUUAGUGUUGGACCUCACAUCUAAUUUUGCAAUGGACUAUUAUGCGGAGUUCAAUAAAAUAAACCAAACAUAA